Molecule: microRNA, 20 nt
Filed under: Macaca mulatta (Rhesus monkey)
Lineage: Eukaryota; Metazoa; Chordata; Mammalia; Primates; Cercopithecidae
Source: RNAcentral
UAUUUCACGACACCAGGGUU